Caenorhabditis elegans is the source of this 142-nucleotide small nucleolar RNA. The record is from Ensembl. Lineage: Eukaryota; Metazoa; Nematoda; Chromadorea; Rhabditida; Rhabditidae.
GCUGCAUUGGACUUCUGAAUCUUCAUGAGAGCUACAGUAGGCCUGGGUGAGUCAUUGGUCCAAUAAAACACCAUUCUAACCACGCCUAGAAGAUAUGAUUCCUAGAAAUUGGCUGACAUCCCAUAAUUAAUACCUUCAUCGC